GGGAGAUUGUGCUCAGGUGAGGCUUAUGGCUGUGAAACAUCUUCUAAUUCAGUGGCUUCCUCCAAGGUAGUUGCAGGAGUUGACUCUGGGGCUUCAGGAAGUGGUUCUGACACCUUUCUUCUCAAGCAAUUGACUCUGCUGCCCUCGUCUGAUUGAAGUGCGACCUCCAGAUUAUAUCAAAAGCAAUCCCUGUAGGAGGGUGGUCCUGUUCUAUCGUAGUACCCACGUUUGAUCACCUCUGCAGUCCCUCACCAGGACGGCUUGUUCAGGAGUGCGACAUCCAACCUCCUUGUUGGAGAAGCCCACAGUUUGUUUCAGCUGUUGGUCCUGCGUACUGCUUCUGAAGAAAUCUAUACGUGAGCACAAGGGAUGACCCAGGAACAACAUAGCUGUGAAAAGGGAAUGUGAUGUAAAGGCUAUUGGGCGUUCAUGUCCAUCACUCAUAACAUGUGACAUCUGCACCCAUACCAGAAGCCAAGGCAUCAUAGAAAAGCUUCACUGGAUGAUGUGGAUCAUAAUGUCCCCUGCCUUUGUGAGAAUUGCAAGAUCACCGUUGGGUUGGGUCAAGGGGCCCAGGAAAGGAGAAUGGGACGUGCAAAAUGCCUUAUUUCCCCGGCGAUGUAAAGCUACGGGACAUGGCCAUUGUCUCCGGAAGACCAAGUUGUGUAUUGAGUACUGUACUAUUCAUUGAAGCCCCUCAGGGGAUGACCAGAGGGGGCUGGUUGAGGGAUUGCAUCAUCCCAACCUGAUUGACAUCUGAGACCCCGUGAGUAAGGAUAAAAGAGGGUCUAGGGAACAACCUCUUUAGACGCACCAGAAGAAACGUUAAGCGACCAUGUAACAGCAGGAAGUCAUCGGAAGGAGGCCACGUGCGUUCAAUUCCGUGGCUGGAACCAUGGAAAACAGCUUUUAGCUAACAACGGGGAAAUUCCCUCCCCUGACUCAACGGAUUGGCAUCAUAAAAGACCUGGGCAAGUUUAAACCACAUCGUUUUUAAACCCAACAACGCUGCAGCUUGAACGAACUGAUAGUGACUGUUAUCUUUCCAUCGGACAAUACAUUAUCCCCUAGACAAUGAUAGAGCUAUUUCUUAUUGAUUAUUAUUAUACCCGCACUUUAGAUUUAGUAUUGACGAUGUAUAUUAUCUGUAUGUUUGCAUUAAUCUUAUUUUUG
Hypanus sabinus (Atlantic stingray) is the source of this 1173-nucleotide long non-coding RNA. RefSeq lists it as uncharacterized. The record is from RefSeq and is a predicted model, not a curated record. The transcript is spliced from 3 exons. NCBI's taxonomy places the organism in Eukaryota, Metazoa, Chordata, Chondrichthyes, Myliobatiformes, Dasyatidae.